Molecule: transfer RNA, 70 nt
Filed under: Micrura bella
Lineage: Eukaryota; Metazoa; Nemertea; Pilidiophora; Heteronemertea; Lineidae
Description: tRNA-Thr
Source: RNAcentral
GUGGCCAAAGCUUUAAAGAAGCGUCGAUCUUGUAAAUCGGAAGAAGAAGAACACGUUUCUUCUGACCACU